CUGGUUUGCUCCAGUUGGGGUUACAUGCCCUCUCCAGCCGGUGGCAUCAUAGCAUCAAUGAUUCAGCAGCAGAGAGGAAAGCAUGCAGCGAUCACAGUUUGCAGAGCGCUCUGUACUGUCACACUAGGAAUAUUCCUUUUCUGAUGUUCACUUUUAAAUCAGCUGGGAGGUCCAACUGAUUAAACAUGGUUAAGGGGAUUUAGUGUUAUGGUAUUUAGG
Pelobates cultripes (western spadefoot toad) is the source of this 219-nucleotide non-coding RNA. The record is from the annotation of a GenBank genome assembly. NCBI's taxonomy places the organism in Eukaryota, Metazoa, Chordata, Amphibia, Anura, Pelobatidae.